This 195-nucleotide ribosomal RNA is filed under the name uncultured bacterium. RNAcentral's name for it is "partial 16S ribosomal RNA". It matches the Rfam family "Bacterial small subunit ribosomal RNA", at positions 338 to 524 of the family's 1533-position model. The record is from RNAcentral.
CCUACGGGAGGCAGCAGUGGGGAAUAUUGCGCAAUGGGGGAAACCCUGACGCAGCAACGCCGCGUGGGUGAAGAAGGCUUUCGGGUCGUAAAGCCCUGUCAGGUGGGAAGAAACUCUUCAGUACUAAUAAUGCUGAAGCCUGACGGUACCACCAGAGGAAGCACCGGCCAACUCCGUGCCAGCAGCCGCGGUAAU